This 253-nucleotide ribosomal RNA is filed under the name uncultured bacterium. Its description in RNAcentral is "partial 16S ribosomal RNA". It matches the Rfam family "Bacterial small subunit ribosomal RNA", at positions 524 to 776 of the family's 1533-position model. The record is from RNAcentral.
AACGUAGGACGCAAGCGUUAUCCGGAGUUACUGGGCGUAAAGCGCGGGCAGGCGGUCGGUCAAGUCUGAUGUGAAAUCUCUCCGCUCAACGGGGAGCAGCCAUUGGAAACUGGGCGACUGGAGUCUGACAGAGGUAGGCGGAAUUCCGGGUGUAGAGGUGAAAUUCGUAGAUAUUCGGAAGAACACCAGUGGCGAAGGCGACUCGCUGGACAAGUAUUGACGCUGAGGUGCGAAAGCGUGGGGAGCAAACAGG